Ictalurus punctatus (channel catfish) is the source of this 665-nucleotide long non-coding RNA. The record is from Ensembl. Lineage: Eukaryota; Metazoa; Chordata; Actinopteri; Siluriformes; Ictaluridae.
UUUCAAAUGUAAUUCCCCUCCACAUGAUUAAUUUACCUUCAUGUUUUUUAUUUUUAACAUUUUUGUUUUCACAAUUCAUUUCACAAUUUUUUUCACCUGAAAUUUUUCAUGUUGUUUACAUUUUUCUGAAAUUAUUUCUCUCAUUUUUAACACGAGACAUUUUAUUUCUUUUCUUCUCACAUUUCAUUUUCUUGUGUGUCUGUUUUCAUGUGUGGUGGGUGUAUUUACAUUUUCACAUUAAACUUGUACAUUUAUUUUCACAUCUUUUCCCCCCAUGUUCGUGUUUGUGUAGUGUUGUGCGGUGUAGUGUUGUGUAUGUGUUUGUGUAGUGUAGUCUAUGUUGUUGUGUAGUGUAAUGUAGUGUAGGUUAGUGUAGUGUUGUGUAGGUUAGUGUAGUGUAGUGUAGUGUAGUGUAGUGUAGUGUAGGUUAAUGUAGUGUAGUGUAGUGUAGUGUAGGUUAGUGUAGUGUAGUGUAGUGUAGUGUAGUGUAGUGUAGUGUAGUGUAGUGUAGUGUAGUGUAGUGUAGUGUAGUGUAGUGUAGUGUAGUGUAGUGUAGUGUUGUGUAGUGUAGGUUAGUGUAGUGUAGUGUAGUGUAGGUUAAUGUAGUGUAGUGUAGUGUAGUGUAGUGUAGUGUAGUGUAGUGUAGUGUAGUGUAGUGUCUGUGU